UGUAAACUAAUAAAUACAUAUC
RNAcentral lists this non-coding RNA (22 nucleotides) under Arabidopsis thaliana (thale cress). Lineage: Eukaryota; Viridiplantae; Streptophyta; Magnoliopsida; Brassicales; Brassicaceae. The record is from RNAcentral.